Long non-coding RNA from Oncorhynchus tshawytscha (Chinook salmon), 401 nucleotides. Lineage: Eukaryota; Metazoa; Chordata; Actinopteri; Salmoniformes; Salmonidae. The record is from Ensembl.
CAGGAAGGUUAAAAGUACCCUCAGACUCAGGAAGGUUAAAACCACCCUCAGACUCAGGAAGGUUAAAAGCACCCUCAGACUCAGGAAGGUUAAAACCACCCUCAGACUCAGGAAGGUUAAAACCACCCUCAGACUCAGGAAGGCUAAAACCACCCUCAGACUCAGGAAGAUGUAAAACGUUCCUUUUUAUUCUAUGAGUUUUAACUGCCCAUAAAGUCUGUUUUGACAGAGUAUACUUUUUAAAGAAUGUCUUCGGUGGGGUAAUUGGUAUUACCAAAAAUAAAACCAAAACCUUUGUCAGCCAUGCCGUUCUAAAGAGUUUUAUUCUCCCUGUAAGAUUCAUGGAAGUUUAUUCCUUUAAUUAGAUCUGCUUUCAUGUGGUUGAGUAAUGGAAUAAAGUU